RNAcentral lists this ribosomal RNA (263 nucleotides) under uncultured Pseudomonas sp. RNAcentral describes it as "partial 16S ribosomal RNA". It matches the Rfam family "Bacterial small subunit ribosomal RNA", at positions 1122 to 1382 of the family's 1533-position model. Lineage: Bacteria; Pseudomonadati; Pseudomonadota; Gammaproteobacteria; Pseudomonadales; Pseudomonadaceae. The record is from RNAcentral.
CACGUUAUGGUGGGCACUCUAAGGAGACUGCCGGUGACAAACCGGACGGAAGGUGGGGAGUGACGUCAAGUCAUCAUGGCCCUUACGGCCUGGGCUACACACGUGCUACAAUGGUCGGUACAAAGGGUUGCCAAGCCGCGAGGUGGAGCUAAUCCCAUAAAACCGAUCGUAGUCCGGAUCGCAGUCUGCAACUCGACUGCGUGAAGUCGGAAUCGCUAGUAAUCGUGAAUCAGAAUGUCACGGUGAAUACGUUCCCGGGCCUU